This 447-nucleotide ribosomal RNA is filed under the name uncultured bacterium. Its description in RNAcentral is "SSU rRNA". It matches the Rfam family "Bacterial small subunit ribosomal RNA", at positions 26 to 518 of the family's 1533-position model. The record is from RNAcentral.
AGAGCGAACGCUGGCGGCAGGCUUAACACAUGCAAGUCGAGCGGGCGUAGCAAUACGUCAGCGGCAGACGGGUGAGUAACGCGUGGGAACGUACCUUUUGGUUCGGAACAACCCAGGGAAACUUGGGCUAAUACCGGAUAAGCCCUUACGGGGAAAGAUUUAUCGCCGAAAGAUCGGCCCGCGUCUGAUUAGCUAGUUGGUGAGGUAAUGGCUCACCAAGGCGACGAUCAGUAGCUGGUCUGAGAGGAUGAUCAGCCACAUUGGGACUGAGACACGGCCCAAACUCCUACGGGAGGCAGCAGUGGGGAAUAUGGACAAUGGGCGCAAGCCUGAUCCAGCCAUGCCGCGUGAGUGAUGAAGGCCCUAGGGUUGUAAAGCUCUUUUGUGCGGGAAGAUAAUGACGGUACCGCAAGAAUAAGCCCCGGCUAACUUCGUGCCAGCAGCCGC